This 468-nucleotide ribosomal RNA is filed under the name uncultured bacterium. RNAcentral describes it as "partial 16S ribosomal RNA". It matches the Rfam family "Bacterial small subunit ribosomal RNA", at positions 28 to 507 of the family's 1533-position model. The record is from RNAcentral.
GACGAACGCUGGCGGCGUGCUUAACACAUGCAAGUCGAACGGAAAGGCCCUGCUUUUGUGGGGUGCUCGAGUGGCGAACGGGUGUGUAACACGUGAGUAACCUGCCCUUGACUUUGGGAUAACUUCAGACAACUGGGGCUAAUACCGGCUAGGAGCUCCUGCUGCAUGGGGGGGUUUGGACAGUUUCGGCGGUUGGGGAUCGACUCGCGGCUUAUUAGCUUGUUGGUGGGCGAGUUGCUUACCAAGGCUUUGGCGGGUCGCCGGCAUGAGAGGUGAGACAGCCACAUGGGGACUGAGAUACGGAGCAGACGCGUACGGGAGGCAGCAGUGGAGAAUAUGGCACAAUGGGGGGGAGUGUGAGACGGAAACGCCGCGAUCGGGAUGACGGCCUUCGUGGGGUAAACGGCAGUCGCCUGUGACGAAGCGGGAGUGACGGUAAUAGGUAAAGAAGCACCGGCUAACUACGUG